RNAcentral lists this transfer RNA (66 nucleotides) under Chaoborus sp. ZK-2019. Its description in RNAcentral is "tRNA-Phe". Lineage: Eukaryota; Metazoa; Arthropoda; Insecta; Diptera; Chaoboridae. The record is from RNAcentral.
AUUCAAAUAGCUUAUAGUUAGAGUGUAAUAGUGAAGUUAUUAAGGAAUUAAUUUUAAUUUUGAAUA